Molecule: long non-coding RNA, 132 nt
Organism: Etheostoma cragini (Arkansas darter)
Lineage: Eukaryota; Metazoa; Chordata; Actinopteri; Perciformes; Percidae
Exons: 3
Source: RefSeq, a predicted model, not a curated record
AUGUUGAUAUUGUACUUUAUGGAUGGUAGAUACAGGACAUGCUUUGAAUUCAUAAGAUUUAACAAUACAGUCUUAGGGACAGAUCUGGUGGCCAGAGUCUUGAGACUUGACUUAGACUUGACGUAAGACUUG